CGGGAAUCCUGCUUCAGAGGUGGGAGUGCUCGAAAGAGAACCGGCGCACAGGUGCUGCAUGGCUGUCGUCAGCACGUGUCGUGAGAUGUUGGGUUAAGUCCCGCAACGAGCGCAACCCUUGUCCUUAGUUGCUACGCAAGAGCACUCUAAGGAGACUGCCGGUGACAAACCGGAGGAAGGUGGGGAUGACGUCAAGUCCUCAUGGCCCUUAUGGGUAGGGCUUCACACGUCAUACAAUGGUCGGAACAGAGGGUUGCCAACCCGCGAGGGGGAGCUAAUCCCAGAAAACCGAUCGUAGUCCGGAUUGCACUCUGCAACUCGAGUGCAUGAAGCUGGAAUCGCUAGUAAUCGCGGAUCAGCAUGCCGCGGUGAAUACGUUCCCGGGUCUUGUACACACCG
RNAcentral lists this ribosomal RNA (399 nucleotides) under Burkholderia sp. LP6. RNAcentral's name for it is "bacterial SSU rRNA". It matches the Rfam family "Bacterial small subunit ribosomal RNA", at positions 991 to 1392 of the family's 1533-position model. The record is from RNAcentral. Lineage: Bacteria; Pseudomonadati; Pseudomonadota; Betaproteobacteria; Burkholderiales; Burkholderiaceae.